UGCAGUCCAUGGGCAUAUACA
Molecule: microRNA, 21 nt
Filed under: Taeniopygia guttata (zebra finch)
Lineage: Eukaryota; Metazoa; Chordata; Aves; Passeriformes; Estrildidae
Description: tgu-miR-455-3p
Gene: tgu-miR-455-3p
Source: miRBase by way of RNAcentral